This 434-nucleotide ribosomal RNA is filed under the name uncultured Clostridium sp. Its description in RNAcentral is "partial 16S ribosomal RNA". It matches the Rfam family "Bacterial small subunit ribosomal RNA", at positions 341 to 792 of the family's 1533-position model. Lineage: Bacteria; Bacillati; Bacillota; Clostridia; Eubacteriales; Clostridiaceae. The record is from RNAcentral.
ACGGGAGGCAGCAGUGGGGGAUAUUGGACAAUGGAGGAAACUCUGAUCCAGCGACGCCGCGUGAGUGAAGAAGUAUUUCGGUAUGUAAAGCUCUAUCAGCAGGGAAGAGAUUGACGGUACCUGACUAAGAAGCCCCGGCUAACUACGUGCCAGCAGCCGCGGUAAUACGUAGGGGGCAAGCGUUAUCCGGAUUUACUGGGUGUAAAGGGAGCGUAGACGGCUUUGUAAGUCUGAUGUGAAAGGCAGGGGCUCAACUCCUGGACUGCAUUGGAAACUACAGGGCUUGAGUGCCGGAGAGGUAAGCGGAAUUCCUAGUGUAGCGGUGAAAUGCGUAGAUAUUAGGAGGAACACCAGUGGCGAAGGCGGCUUACUGGACGGUAACUGACGUUGAGGCUCGAAAGCGUGGGGAGCAAACAGGAUUAGAUACCCUGGUA